CGAACGCUGGCGGUAUGCUUAACACAUGCAAGUCGAACGAGAAAGUCACUUCGGUGGCGAGUAGAGUGGCGCACGGGUGAGUAACGCGUAGGUGACCUACCUCUUAGCGGGGGAUAACCAUGAGAAAUUAUGGCUAAUACCGCAUACGUACUGCAAUUUUGGAAGUAGCAGUAGAAAGGAUGCCUCUCCUUGGAAGCAUUCACUAAGAGAUGGGCCUGCGUAGCAUUAGCUGGUUGGUGGGGUAACGGCCUACCAAGGCAACGAUGCUUAGCUGGUCUGAGAGGAUGAUCAGCCACACUGGAACUGAGACACGGUCCAGACUCCUACGGGAGGCAGCAGUGGGGAAUAUUGCGCAAUGGACGAAAGUCUGACGCAGCAAUACCGCGUGAGUGAGGAAGGCCUUCGGGUUGUAAAGCUCUGUCAGAUGGGAAGAACGGUAACGGGUCCAAUAGGCCUGUUAAGUGACGGUACCAUCAAAGGAAGCACCGGCUAACUUC
RNAcentral lists this ribosomal RNA (497 nucleotides) under uncultured bacterium. RNAcentral's name for it is "bacterial SSU rRNA". It matches the Rfam family "Bacterial small subunit ribosomal RNA", at positions 30 to 504 of the family's 1533-position model. The record is from RNAcentral.